GAUGAACGCUGGCGGCGUGCCUAAUACAUGCAAGUCGAGCGAACGGACGAGAAGCUUGCUUCUCUGAUGUUAGCGGCGGACGGGUGAGUAACACGUGGAUAACCUACCUAUAAGACUGGGAUAACUUCGGGAAACCGGGGCUAAUACCGGAUAAUAUUUUGAACCGCAUGGUUCAAAAGUGAAAGACGGUCUUGCUGUCACUUAUAGAUGGAUCCGCGCUGCAUUAGCUAGUUGGUAAGGUAACGGCUUACCAAGGCAACGAUGCAUAGCCGACCUGAGAGGGGGAUCGGCCCACAGGGAACUGAGACACGGGCCAGACUCCUAGGGGGGGCAGCAGGAGGGAAUCUUCCGCAAGGGGCGAAAGCCUGACGGAGCAACGCCGGGGGGGUGAUGAAGGUUUUCGGAUUGAAAAACUUUGUUAUUAGGGAAAAACAUAUGUGUAAGUAACUGUGCACAUCUGGACGGUCCCAAAAAAGAAAGCCACGGCUAACUACGU
RNAcentral lists this ribosomal RNA (496 nucleotides) under uncultured bacterium. RNAcentral describes it as "partial 16S ribosomal RNA". It matches the Rfam family "Bacterial small subunit ribosomal RNA", at positions 28 to 506 of the family's 1533-position model. The record is from RNAcentral.